Molecule: long non-coding RNA, 924 nt
Filed under: Anas platyrhynchos platyrhynchos (common mallard)
Lineage: Eukaryota; Metazoa; Chordata; Aves; Anseriformes; Anatidae
Description: lncRNA (ENSAPLG00000019416.1)
Source: RNAcentral
UGGGGACACCGAGCACAGCUCUGGGGGUAGCUGCCCGGUGCUGGGGACGUGCAGUGUGGGCACCGAUCCCCUCCAGCUCCGUGCAGGAUGCGCCCUGGGGUCGUGGGGGCACCGUGCCCGGCAGAGCCACCGGUUGCUGCCCCCUGCUCAUGGUGGGGAUGUUUUAGGGACAAGCUGGGGUCUGGCUCAGCUCGUCCCAUCUUGUCCCGGGGCUCAGCGUCUCCUUCCUCAGCAGGCAGAGCUGCAGCUGCAGGAGCUCUCGCGCUCCAUCUCCUCCUCCUCCUCGCUCAGCGACCUGGGCUGCACCAGCCCCAGCCUCUCGCUGCAGUCCCCGGUGCUGCCGGCGCUGAGCAGCUCCCUGUCGGAGAACGACCUCUCCAGCCCCGUGGAGCCGCCGGCACCCCAAACACGAGGGCAGCUGCCAGUGCUGCCGGGCUCCCCUGCAGGCUCGGUGCAGACCUGGCCCCUUCUCUCCACGGCUCCCUCCUGGCCGACGGCAGCGCCGCUCUUCCCCCAAACGCCCCCUCCGAGCACCCCGGGGGCUCCCCCCGUUCCCCCUGCCCUCCCUCCCGCCCUCCCCUCGUCCCCCAUCCCCAGCAGCCCCGUGAGCCCCCCUGUGACCAGCGGUCCCUGGUCCCCGACCACCCCGCUCCUGUCCCUGGCCAACGUCUUCUCCCUGGCGGUGAUGAGCGUGGCCCACACGCUGCUGCCCGCCGUCUCCUCCAUCGCCCCCUCGGGGGGCCACCUCUACCCCCCGCUGCUGCCUCGGCCCCAAAACCUCAUCCUGGGACCCCCUCGUUUCGUCUAUCCCGACCCCGCCAGCAUGGCCAAACCCCCCCCGGCUCACGGCGGGGCGCUGGGGGCCGCUGUCCCCGCUGUGGGGGGUGCCGUGCCCUUCUCUCCUCCAGCACCACCAGGGGGUGA